UGGAAGACUUGUGAUUUUGUUGCU
RNAcentral lists this microRNA (24 nucleotides) under Eisenia fetida (common brandling worm). RNAcentral describes it as "Efe-Mir-7-P12_5p (mature (guide))". The record is from RNAcentral. Lineage: Eukaryota; Metazoa; Annelida; Clitellata; Crassiclitellata; Lumbricidae.